ACCAAGUCUAGAGGAUGAAUUUGGUUCCUCAUGGUGUAUGGCUCAGAUGCCAAAUCAACAGUUGUGGUGAUCAAUGGCUUGUCAAUGCUAUUGUAUUAUGGAAACACCUCAUACAACU
Helianthus annuus (common sunflower) is the source of this 118-nucleotide non-coding RNA. NCBI's taxonomy places the organism in Eukaryota, Viridiplantae, Streptophyta, Magnoliopsida, Asterales, Asteraceae. The record is from Rfam.